AUCUGGAGGCAGAAAGUGAGGAUAAACUGAAAGCCAGGGCCAGCCACCAGUGGGAGAUGGGAAGGGGAGGUGUGAGCCGGGAGCAGGAGGGAGGGUGAGCAUGUGCUCUCAGAUACCCAGGGAGGGGUGUGAGCUCAGUCAACACAGAUCAGCUGGGUAGGGUCUUUCAGAGGGAACCGGGCCCUGCCCUGCGGCCCUGGGGAGCCACUUGCACUGUUCAGCCGCCCUUUGUGGGAGAGGAAUCACCCCAUCUGGAAGAUCACGGUGUCAUGAUUUGCUACAUGGAAUAGUGGCUUUAGGGGCCCACCUGAGAGUCAGACCUGACUCUGGGGAUUCAGAGUGGAGAGUGAGAACUGGGUCACACGUGUGUGUGCAUACACAGACACGCGCACGCGCGACUUGGCAAGUUUGGAAACAGUGAGGGGUGGGCAGAGGAGGACACAGCAGCCUCCAGGGAAGGGAGGGCCCUACUGAGUGGUGCCCCCACCAUGGGAGCUCAGGAGAGUUUGGGGAAGGCCAGAGGAGUUUCUGAAGAGAACCCUCAGGCUCUGCAGGUGAGAGGAGGGGAAAGGUGGCCCCGGGACUAGUCAGGGGAGCCAAGUGCACUCGAAAAUCCAGGAGAGACAAGGACACUUCUGGGCAGCCUGACCCCCCUCAGCUGCCAUGAUAGGCCUUGCAGGGCAGAGCAGCUAUAAGGCAAUACCCACCACUCGGCAGCCUGCACACCCAAGGGGAGGGGAGGCAGCUGUCCUCAGAAGCCUCAGUUUCACACAGCCUGGUGUCCCUUCUGAUGCGCCUCAGGCCACGUGAACCCAGGCCCUUGUGGGCCCAGCUCCCACCUGCACUCAGGUGUGGAGGGGGCCUGUGGUCAGAAGAGAGGUGGACAGAGGGGGUGGGCAGAGCCAGGGCAGCAGGCUGGGCGGCGGGGGCAUGCACCAGCGCGGGGGCAUGCAUGCUUCCUUGUGUGAUUUUUAAGGCUGUGGACAGCACCUAGGGCGUCCGCCCACUUCAGGGUAACCACAGCCCUGAGGGCUUAUCAGGUGUGUUCCAUUACAAGAGCCUUGCAGGUCUGGCCUCUGCAUCGGCCCCCCACCCCCACCUCUGGCCCUGUGCGCCCUUGAGGCUGUGCAGUCCUGUUAAGAACACCUGCCCUGGCCUGAAGAGCCACAGUAUUGGAGAAGGAUUACCAGCCUACUGCGCUUCCAGACCCCCUUGCCUACCUUCCCAGGGAGUCCUGCACCCACAGCUGCUGGGCCGGGGUUGGCCUAGGGACCAGCAUCUUCUCCCACGGUGACACACAUAUAAAAGUAGCUCCUUAGGGAGCUUUCUGACAGCCAGGAGAGGGAGGGUGCAGAAAGGCUGGAGCAGGGCCAACCUUGUGAGCAUCUGCUCACACCACAUGCUGGCCCCCGCUCUGAGCAGGGCCAACCUGGCCCUAUAAACCCUUGCUGGUUGCAGGAGGGUGGGGAGCAGUAGAAAACAUGUUGGUGUUCAAAGGCAACUCACCACUGCUCCCUGCCUUUCUGCAUUCAGGGAGCAAUCGCACAAACAUGCAUACGCACACAUACACAUACACACAGGCCUGGCCAGGGUCACACCUGGGCCCUGGACCCCCUAUGAGCCACCCUCCCUUAGGAGCAGACCCUCACUCACUUGUGAUGUCGUACACCACCACAGCCACUGUGGAGUCCCGGAUGUAGCUGGGGAUCAGGCUGCGGAACCUCUCCUGACCAGCUGUGUCCCAGAGCUGCAGUCGCACCUGUCUCAGGGAGGGCAGGACCACGGGCAGAGGGGUCAGUGGGGCAGUGAGGUCCUCCUAGUCCGGGGGACUGGGAGAGCCGGGCUCUGCAAUGCUGGCAUCACCAGCUCCAGCCCCCAGUGUCGGCAGGUGCUCUCAGUGGUGCCCAGUUAAGGGUCCUAGGGGAUAAGCCCAAAGGAACCCCCCGGUCCCUCCCAGUCCUAAUAUUAGAUGCUCACCGUGCGGUCCUCUAAGUACAUGGUUUUUGACAAGAAGUCAAUCCCAAUGGUUGCCUGUUAGAGAAAAGCACAGAAUGGUCAAAACCAAAAGGUCUCAUGCAAAGGCGCAAAAGCCUGGUGACCACAGGUGGUGGCAUAACCAGCAAGAGGGGACACUCAUGUCAAGUCUAACGUGGCCAUGCUCUGUCCCCCCUGCCCCUCCACCCACCACUCAGUGGCUCUCUCACUGAGGGAUCAAGCUGAGGAAAGAUGAGGGUUGCCUUUAUAGGGUGAGAUCCUCUCUGGAGAGGGAAAGUGCUUCGGGAACGGUGAGAGCGCAGUGGUGAGGAGGCCUCCCCAGGAGCAGGGCCACUCAGGCCACUCAACGCACAUAUCCUGCCCUCCCCACCUGGGCUUCCUGCCUCAUUCCCCUCACGGCCUAACCUGCAGCUUCCAAAGCCUCUUCCCUCUGCCCUAAAGCAUGGGCCUGGGCUCAACACUGACCUCGGGAGGGUGGGAGGCAGGGGGCAGGAGCAGGCAGCCUGCUGCUGUGUGGGGGCAAACAGCAGCAUGGCUUUUCUCAGGUGCGGGUGCUGCAGACCACCCAGAGUGGCCUCUCGCUGGGAGGCCCCACUGGCUCUGUUCUCCCCAAGCCAAAACGUUGGAAGCUGUCACUACCUCCCCUGUGCCACACCUAUGCCUUUCUGCCUGGCACCUGCGAGAGGCAGCCAGCCUUGUGGCCAGAUGGCCAGGACCCACCACUCACUUGCUGUGUGGCCUUGGGCAGGCCACCAACCUCUCUGGGCCUCACAUGCACCCGGUACCUGUCAGUAGGACUGAGAUGCUGUCGAUGUACAAUGGAGAUCUCACUGCUAUGUAAUCAAUAAUAACAAAGACUUGGACACAGCCCGAAUGUCCAGGGCACUGAACAAGCAUAGUGUGGUAUAUCCAUGUGAUUACAACCCUUGGCAGCUAUUAACGAUCACAUUCUUGAAAAAUUAUUUAAGGAUUUGGGGAAAUGGUCAUCCAGUUAAAAAAACAAACAAACAAAAAACAGGUUAUAAAACAUCAUGUGGCGAGUGAUCCCAAUUAGAUUAACUCAAGUAGAUCUAUGAGUAUUUUUCAUGUUUUCUUAGACACUGAAGUAAAGGGAAUCUGCUAACAUGUUAAUAGCAUCAUGGUCUGAAUAGUGACAGAGCAUUUUGUUUCCUUCAUUACACUCCUUCAUUACACUUUUCUCUACUUUCCACAAUGAACAUAUAACAGUUCUAAAAUAAGAAAAAGUCCUUUGAAAUAAAGUUUGAUAAAUAAGUUUAUGUGGAAUGCCAUGAUUUUUGACUGCAAAAAAAACACAACCAAAAGAAGCCCAAGAAAAUAGAAAAGGUCAUGUCUCCAGGCCCCCCAGGCUGAAUGCAAAGGUAUGCACCAAUGUGUGUGCACAAGUGUGCAUGUUUACAUAGUCACACUCCCAACUCAUUCCACAAAGGACUGAGGGUGGCUGUACCCUCCUGGAAGCUUGCCUUAUAACACAAAGAAAUGGAGGAUCAUUCUAUGCUCUGGAUGCUAGAAUGUGGGUACUAGACAAACACCUUAGAUACAACCCAAUCAAUCCCUUACUUUGGAGAUGAAAGAAUAGACCAAGAGGGCUAAAGGACAUGCGUAGUGUGACUUCACUCAUCAGUAGCAGGGCUGGGAAGAUCAGAGCUCCAAACUUGGCAGCACCUGGGCUCUUUCCAGCCCAGCUUCGCAUAGUGUAGCCACCGAGGGACAAAUCUGCAAUGACCAGUGCUUGUGGAUGCAGACUUUUUCCUUCACAGGUAUAUGUUAGAUUGACAGUCCUUGUCUUCCGAUUCCCUUAUGGAGAAAUGUGCCUAGCAGGUAGAAGUCUCUCAACUCCUCAAUGCUCAACAGGCUCCCCAGGAGUGACAUGCUCCUUUUGUAGGGUCACCUUUGAACUAAAACCAGGUGCACGAGCUUAGGACUGGUGGCAGGGACUGCUGGUUGUCCCCAGUAUGUAGUUUCCCUUUCUAUAGUAACAGAAUUCUGGGUGUGCAGAUGGACUCAGGGCUGCCCCAAAUAAAGACCAUAUUUCCCAGCCUUCUUUGCAGCUGGGUGGCUACGUUCUGGUUAAUGGGAUGUGAAGGUGAUGUAGGUAUCUUUGGGGACAGGUCCUCUGUGGGUAGGGAGGACCCACAGCUGCUCCCUUUCCCACUGUCCGGUGGGGAUGAGUCAUAGUGGCCCAUCCAGAUGAGGAUGACAGAGGAGUGAUGACAUCAACGAAGCCUGACUCCCUGACCCUGAGGAGCUACUUCAGCAGCGCUGGACUGCUCAGAUUGUUCUAUUUUGUUUAAGCCACUGUUAUUUUGGGUUUCUGUUAACAUAGCCUAAUUAACAAGCAAAGAACCAUGGAGAAACAUAUCUCUCAAAGGUAGGUACCCAAUGGUAAUGCUACUGAUAACUGUAAUGAUGACCACCCCAUCACAGCUCACAUGUCACGAGGCACUUCUGCUUCCACAAAGGGCAGAGAAGUCACCAAAUGAAACAAGGAAUUGUGCCACUUGGAUGAAGUCCCAGCAAAGCUCAACCCAGUGGCCUCCAUAAUCAUAAACACCAUUACCGAACAUCCACAUACUUUCUCUCACAUCCCAUAACACACUGACCAGAGGCAGCAACGAGGAACCUGAACGAGGCCAACAUCCCAUCUUCUCCAGCUCUCUCUUAAUUCCCACUUCCAGCUUCCCCAUCAGAGAAACCUCUGGUCCCUUAACUGUCCACUCUCCCAGACCUGUUCUAGCCACACUCUCCAUCUGACCAGGCCACUGAGCCACUGAAGAACUUCCGUAGCUGUGGAGAUGGCGCCAAAGCAUAGGCAUUGUCUCUGGGUGUAACUGAGCCCUCAGCUCUGCUCAAAAACAUAUUCCUAAGUUUUGCUUUCAAUAAUGGCUGAGUGGCUUGUAUCAAACAAACCCUCCAACAGAAAACUAUUUUAAUAUCUGGAAAAAUACAAGAAAUAACAAUUUGCAAGCACUGAAGAAUGAUCAAAAGCAGGACGAGACAGGGCGCAGUGGCUCAUGUCUGUAAUCCCAGCACUUUGAAAGACCAAGGCAGGAGGAUCACUUGAGCCCAGGAGUUUGAAAGCAGCCUAGGUAACAUAGUGAGACUUUGCCUCUACAAAAGAUAAAAAAUAAAAAUUAAUCAGGUGUGGUGGUGCCCGCCUGUAGUCCCAGCUACUUGUGAGGCUGAGGGGAAGAAUCGCUUGAGGCUGGUGGGGCUGAGGAUGCAGUGAGCCAUGAUGACACUACUGUACUCCAGGCUGGUCAACAGAGCAAGAUCCUGGCUCAAAAGAAAAAAAAAAGUAGGUAGGGGUUACAACCACUCAAGGAAUGGAAGAGAAUUAGGUAGAUUCUACAUUAAAUCAAUUUGCCUCCUGAUGAAACUCCCCAGUCCCACCAAAUUAAAAGAACUUCAAAAACACCUCAGACUCCACUGAAACACCAGAAAGGCUGGCUUUGGGAGGAACAAGAUCAUCUCAGGACUGAGGGUUACACCAGAGGACUAAGAGAAAACCAAAAUUAAUCUAUCGCUAUGGUCUGAAUGUGUCCUCUGUAACCUCAAAUUCAAAUGCUGAAACUUAAUCCUCAAUGUGAUCAUAUUAAAAGGCACAUCCUUUGGGGAAAGGAUUAAGUCAUGAGGAUUCUGACCUCUUGAAUGGGAUUAGUACCCUUAUAAAAGAGGCUUAAGGGAGCACCCUGGCUCCCCUCUGCCAUGUGAGGACACAGUGUUCGUCCCUUCCACCGAGGACACAGCAUAAAGGUGAUUUUUUGAAGCAGAGAGCAAGUCCUCACCAGAUGCAGAAUCUGCUGGAGCCUUGAUCUUGGAAGGCAAUCCCAGACUCCUGAACUGUGAGCAAUAAAUGCCAAUUGCUUAUACGUUACCCAGUCUAUUUUGUUAUAGCAGCCUGAAUGGAUGAAGACAUCUGUCUUAACAAGGUCCAUGCAUGAUAACUAACCAUUCCCUAAAUAAUUGUCUAUUAAGAUAGGCAUUUAUCUUAAUCAUUUAAUUGCCUAUUAAGAUAAAACAACACUCUUCAGAGGAAGGUAACAAAAUCCAAGACUAUAACUUAUUAUUCAUGAGGUCCACUGUACAAUAAAAAAGGACUAGAAAUGCGAAGAAACAGAAAAUUCAAGCCAUAAUCAAGGGAAAAAACUCAACAGACCCCUACAUGACCCAAAUGUUGAAUUAGUAGACAAAGACUUUAAAACUCUUAUAAAUAGGUAAAAAAAAACUAAAAAAUAAAUACAAUGAGUGACUGUCAAGAGAUUUAUGAAAAUUCUAAAACAAAACAAAAUGGAACUUUUAACACUAAAAACUAUAAUAUCUGAAAUAUCAAGUGAUCUGACAUAUAUGCAAUAAGAGGCCGGGCGUGGUGGCUCAUGCCUGUAAUCCUAGCACUCUGGGAGGCCUAGGCAAGCAGAUCACCUGAGGUCAGGUGUUUGAGACCAGCCUGGCCAACACAGUGAAAUCCCAUCUCUACCAAAAAUACAAAAAUUAGCCAGGUAUCUUGGCGGACGCCUGUAAUCCCAGCUACUUAGGAGGCUGAGGCAGGAGACUCGCUUGAAUCUGGGAGGCAGAGGGUGCAGUGAGCUGAGAUCGCACCACUGCACUCCAGCCUGGGCAACAGAGCGAGACUCUGUCCCCCAAAAAAUAAUGAAACAAAAAAUGCAAUUAGAGUCUCAGAAGGACAGCAGAAACAGAUGCAGGCAAAAAACAUCUUGAGAAUAGCCCCCAACUUCCCCCAAUUUAAUUAGAAACAUCAACCCACGGUUCCAAGAAGUUCAGUGAACCUAAAACAGGAUAAACCUGUAAAAAACCAAACCAAGGUAUGUCAUAGUCAAAUUGCUAAAAAUAAAAAAUAGAGAGAAAACCAGAAUAGCAGCCAGAAAACAGAACACAUUACAUACAAGGAAACAAUGGUAAGAAUUAUAGUUGAUUUACCAUCAGAAACAACGGAAGACAGAAGACAAGGGAACAACAUCUCGAAACUGCUUAAAAAAUAAAACAAGUCACACACAAAAAACCCUGUCAGCCUAGAAUUCUAUAGCUGGUGAAAAUUUUCUUCAAAAAUGAAGACAAAACAUAAACAUUUUCACAUAAGGGAAAGUCACAUAAUUUGUCACUAGCAUGCACUCAUUAUAAGAGAUGCUUUAGGCUAAAGAGAAAUUUUGUAGAUGGAAAUUAGAAUCUUUAAGGCUGGAAUACAAGUGCACCAGAAAUGGCAAAUCUAUGGGCAAAUAUAAAAAACACGCUACUUGUCCUUGAUUGCUUCCUAUCACAGUAACAAUGACAUCCACAGUAACAACAACUAAACAUCUCAGCACUUAGCCAUUUCCCAGCUCUUGUACUAACUGCUUUAAAUACAUUACUUAAUUUAAUCUGGACAAUAAAUCUGUGCGAUGAGUUAGGCUCUUCUGUAUUCUGUGUCACUGCUAAGAAAAUGGAAUACAAGAGAUGCUAAGUGACUUGUCAAAUGUCCACAGCUGAGACUGCAGUCAAGAUUCAAAAGGUAUUUGCAAAGUUGUCUACAUAUGUCCAGCCUUAUCCCCACAUGCCUCCAGGCUCUGAGUAUUUGUUAUUUCUCCCGUUUAAAGAAAGCCUCUUCCUAGGCCCUCUUGGCCCUGGCCUUCUCUGGAUGAUGCUUUCUCAGCCAUCUCCUUUCUCUUCUGUAUCUCAGUCUCUCAUUCUCUACUCACUCGUUCCUUUCAUCCAAGAAACAUUCUCAAGAUUCUCACAUCUUUGAGUGGAAAAAUCCCUCAUUUUCACUAAGUUGCUCUCUAGCCAUCUGCCAAUCUCUCACCUCUUCUGAAUGGGCUUGCUUCUUGGAAAAGGACUUCAAACCUACUGUACCCAUUUCCUCUAUGCCCACCCAUUUCUCAACUAGGUCAGUCUGGUUUCUGUCCCUCUGCCCAUAGCUCUUGCUAUGGUCACCAGUAGCCAUUUGAUUAUCAGAUCAUGAGGACUCUAUAUAGGCCAGACUCAACACACUUGACCCUGCCUCUUCUACGGCAUUUGUUUCUUCUUUGCUUUCCAUGACUUUACUUGUUUCUGGCUUUCCCUGCCUCUCUAAUUGCUGUUCCUUACUGUUCUCUUGUAGGAUCUUCUUCCUUUCUUUCCCUAAAAUGUUGGCAUUUCCACUGUUUUGUUUCAGGGGGGAUCUCAUUUACUUUCGAUGCUUCAAAUACGAUAUAUUGAUCAGUUCCCAAUCUAUAACCCAGGCCUUACCCCUGUUCUGAGCCCCAAAUCUAUGCAUCCAGCUACUUACUACAAAUCCCACUUAAUUAUCCACUAGACAGCUGACUAAAUAUAUAGUAUGUUCUAAAAAGAGCCUAUCAUCUUCCUCCAAACCUGCUUCUGCUAUUUUUCCUAUUUCAAUAAAUGGCACCUUGAUCAUCCAGGGCACACAAGCCUCUGGAAGCCUGAAAGCCCUCCUGAGUUGCUCCUCUUCACUUGCUGUCUGUUCCCUCACAUCAAAUGAAUACUGAACUGGUUACUUGGCCUCCUAAGGGCUCUCAACCAGCCCCCUUUUUCUCCAUCCCCAACACCACUGCCCUAGUUUAGACACUGAACUUCUUUUACCUAAAUAACACCAACAGCUUCCUGACUAUCCCUCAUGCUUUCCACUGUAAUUAAUCUUUCAUGUAGCAGGCAGGAUGUCUUAGUCCAUUUUCUGCUGCUGUAACAGAAUACCACAGACUGGAUAAUUUAUUUUAAAAAGAAAUUUACUUAUCACAAUUCUGGAAGCUGAGAAGUCCAAGAACAUGGCACCGGUGUCUGGGGAGGGCCUUUGUGCUGUAUCAUCCAUGUCAGAAGGUGGAAGGGAAAGGGAACACACACAACAGAGAGAAAAAGGGGCCCAAACUCCCAUGGUACCACCCACUCCUGCAAUAACUGCAUUAAUCCAUACCUAAUCACCUCUUAAAGGCUCCACUUUUUUUUUUUUUUUAAAGCAGCUGCACCUUCUAGGAUCACCUCUUAAUACCGUCACAAUGGCAAUUAAAUUUCAAUGUGAGUUUUGGUGGUGACAUUGAAACCAUUGCACAGGGUUAUUUUUCUGAAAUAUUAAUAUGAUCAUAUUAAUAUGAUCUACUGCCUCUAAGAAAUAGCUCAAACACUUCAAGCUGGCCUAUAAUGCUGUUCAGGGCCUGCCCCUGGCAUUCUAUGGACUCAUUCCCUCCUUGCCCAGCCUGCACUUUAUACUUUAGAAAUAAUAUUCUGUACAGUACUCCUCAUAAACAAGUUCCUUUGUGUGUCUGGGCCUUUUCUAAUACUGUUCCCUUCUCUGGAAUGCUCUUCUACAUGGUUUAUACUUAUUCAGAAUUCAAGAUUCAGCUCCUCUACAAAUCAUUUUCUGGGCCCUCAGGUUGGUCCAGGGCCCCUCAUUUAACACGUUCUCUGUUAAACUGUAAAGAUCUCAUACUGAUCAAUCUCUCCCACUGGCCAGUGAUUCAAUGAUUCUCAAUAUGUAGCCCACGAGUCACGUGCAUCAGAAUCACAUCAGGAGCUUGUUAAACAUGUUGAUUCCUGAGCUCCACUCAGACAGACAGAAUCACAAUCUCUGGGAAUCAGAAUUCCAGACAAGCCCUCAGAUAACUCAUUUGUGCAGUAAAGUCUGCAAACUGCCUUCUAUUGUAAUCAGAGUCUGGGGAGGUUGUGAUGUCCAGGAGUGGCAGAUGCCCUGUACAGGGUGAGAGACAAGAGGGAGAUGCUUAUGCAUGAGAAGGUGCUAUUCACAGAAAGCAAGGCUUACUCGGAACCAAGGUCACACAGUCAGUAGUGUCAGAAUCAGUUUCCCUGAGUGCAAAGUCCCUACUCUUGACUAUUCAGUUGUACUCCCUCUCCUUCCUGAAAUCCCUUCAUUUUUGAACCUGUCAUGCACCCUGAAGCUGUCACUGAAUAUUCCUGGGGUCACAUACUAUCUGGCUACCUAUUGUCAUAAUCUUAUGGUCAUCAGCCAUAAUAGUUCAGCAGAGCCCACUUAAGGUGAAGUUCGUUUGCCAGAAGAGAAAAGUCAGCUCUCUAAGGACAGAAUAGAAACAAGAACUUUUAAAAGGGCCUUGGCUUGGCCUCAGUUACCAGAAAAUUUCUAGCUCUUUGACAUCAUCUAUUUGCCUCAAAUAAGGCACAAACAGUCUUACUGGUUGAGAAAUUAGAGAACAAUCUGCAAAGUUACUACAGCAGCCAGAAAGUGUAGAAAAUCCUAGAAGUGACAAAGAUACAGAGAGGUGACCCCAAAUUCUCCAUAUAAAUGCUACCCAAAUCUCUGACUGACCCAAGCAGACCCUAAGCAGCCUACCUAAGACUGAAAACAAAAUAAAACAGACAAACAAAAAAAUCUGAACAUAACUUUCAGUUGCUGCCUACCACGGUGGGGAGAAUUGAGAAUUUGGGUCCAGACAAUUUAGCUGCCCACUAAAGCCAAGAGUACUCUUCACAGGAACAAACAGAAUCCACAGUUUUAACAUAAUGUAUAACCCAAAAUUACUAGUCAUAUGAAUAAGAAAAUGUGAGCCAUAUUCAAGAAAAAAGAGAUUAAAUGGAGACUAACUCUGAGGUACCCAGAUGUUGAAAAUAGCAGGCAAGUAUUUAAAAAUAGUUCAUAUAACUAUGCUCAAAUAUAAAAAUAAGCUCAUAAUAAAGGCACAGAUUUAAAAAUCUCAACAGAGAAACUAAAACUCUAAGUAAAGAACCAAAUACAAACUUAGAACUGAAAAAUACAUCUGAAACAACAGAUUCAAAAAGAGAAAUGAAAUAGUCAGUGAACUUGAAAAUAGAUCAUAUAAAUUAUCCAAAAGGAAGCAUAAAGAGGAAAAAAGUUGAGAAAAAUUUCAUAAACAGAGCCUCAAACAGCUUAACAUAUGUUUAAUUGGAGUCCCAGAAGUAGAGGAGAUGGAGAAUUGGACAAAAAAACUAAAGAAAUAAUGGUGAAAAGUUUUCUGAGUGCAAAAUGAGACACAUUUACAGAUUCAAAAACUCAUCCAACUCCAAGCAUUACAUUAAAAAAAUAAAGAAACAAAAUCACAUGUCUAUUCAUAUCAGAGUCUAACUGCUAAAAAUCAAAGAUAAAGAAAAAUCUUGACAGCAGCCAGAGGAAAAUGACACACCCCAUGCAAGGAAGUAACAGGGAUGACGGCUGGCAUAUUGGAAAAAAAUGAAAGCUAGAAAACGGUGGAAUGACACAAAGUGUUCAAGAAAAAAAAAAGUGGCAACAGAAUUCUAAAUCCAGCAAAAAUACUCUUCAAAAGUAUGAAAAAAUAAAAAUAUUUUUCAAGCAGAACUUCACUACAAGAAAUGUUAAAGGCUGACAGGAAAAUAUACUAAUGGAAACUAGACUUCUCUGGAAGAAAUUGAGAGCAUCAGAAAUGGUAAAUACAUGCAUGGGUAAAUGCAGGACAUUGUUUGUUUUAGAUAAAAGUGAUGGCUUCAGUAUACCCUGAGGUGUGAAGCCACACAGUUUCUUCAGAAAAACAAAAAUGAUUCAGGACCAGUGGACUGUGAAUUGCCUGUAGAGAACAGGAUGGAGCCAAAGAACUGAUAAACGACCAAAGAAGAGGCGCUUCCAUGUAGCUGGGACUUUAGAAAGAUAACCCUGGUUGAAGGAUAGUGAAUGGGAUGAAGGCAAGGGAGACAAAACGGAACCUGCUGCAAAGGCCUGGACAGGUGAAGAAGUGUGGACAGAAAAGAGCAGGGUGAGAAGGAAGGAGGACACAUGAAUGAUAUCAAUAAGCAGAAGCAGGACUCCAUGGGUGCGAAAGAUGCAGGGAGGCUGGGUGACUAAGAUAAGGUACUGUUAACAAGAAAAGGGGGGAGUGGCUUGCACGGCUGGGAACACUAACUACACUUUGCAGAUAAGCCAGAGCCACACAGAAGUGAAGUGACUUGCCUGAGGUUCCAUAGCAAGUCAGCGAGGUCACAGGAACUAACUUGCAUCUUCUCUGAUGAUAAAUCAUGGGCUUUGGGUGAUGAAAUAAAAGACGACCUUCAUGGGCUGACUCCUUUGGAGCACAUCCCAGCUAGGGUAGCCACUAAAGGAUGGCCCAAGGUGCUGCUUCUCUGGAAGCAACUGCAACCACACCACUAGAACUAAUGAGAAAUGACCACACUUGGGUGUCAUUCAUGCCACCUCCGUGGAGAGCCACAAAGUUAGAUCUACACUGAUGGGCAUUCUCCUCGUCACAGGGAAUGAGCAUGGUCCAGGCGUGGUCUUGUGAGGCAGCUGGGCUUACCAGCCAAUCCAAGAUUGCCAAGUAUCAAAGCCAAUGGUGCUCCUGGGGUUCCUGGGGCUGCUGUGCUCUGUCUAAGAGCUGUGUCUACCACUGUUCUGCUGGGUACUCUAGUCUCAGACUUGUGCCAAAUCAAAUCCUCAGAGACCACGGGCCUAGGCUGCUUUGUGCACACUCUCCAGAAUGGUUUUAGCAGCAAGUGAGCCAGAUUACGCUGGCAUUGCACUUUGGAGGUCUGUGAGGGUCUUUAUCACAAAUCAUCAUGUGCGGAAAGUCUCUAGCUUGCUGGUAACACUGUCACUAGAUGCCCUACCUGCCAAGCCAUUACAUAUACCUCUUUGUAAGCUGGGGCAGAGAAACCCUUGAUAUUUUUCUUUUUUUUUUUUUUUUGAGACAGGGUCUCACUCUGUUGCCCAGGCUGGAGUGCAGUGGCAUGAACACAGAUCCCUGUAGCCUCGACCUCCUUGGCACAAGCAAUUCUCCUGCCUCAGCCUCCCAAGUAGUUGGAACUACAGGCGUGUGCUACCACGCCCAGCUAGUUAAAAAAAUAGUUUUCUUUUGUAGAGAUGGGGAUCUCACCAUGUUGUCCAGGCUGGUCUCGAACUCCAGGGCACAAGUGAUCCUUCCGCUUCAGCCUCCCAAAGAGCUGGGAUUACAGGCGUGAGUCACCAUGCCUGGCAAACCCUUGAUUCUAAACCUGACCACUCUCCCUGCCUUACUGCGUGACCUUGUUCAAGUGUUAGCAAUAUCUGGCUCAAAAUGCAAGCCUGGGAGCAUUUUGCCAUUAGUAUGUGGGAACCAUGCAUGGUAUUUCCUUUCCCUCCAGCCACCAGGAAACUCGAAGGUAAAUGCUGAGCUCCAUACAGUAUUUCUGCUAUAGCUAUCUCCGCUACCCUCUAUUCCUUUCUGAUGCUAGUUUUUCCUCCUCUGCAUCUGUAGUACAGUCAUCGUAUCUGUGGCUCCUACUUUGGAGGGAUAUGGGGACAUCAGACAAAAAGAACAACUAGCCACCCAGGUAGGCCAUAUCCUCCUGAAAAAGGCCCCAGCAACCUUGGUGAUUUCCUGUGACCUGCCACAGGGUACACUUCAUCUCAAAGGUCACCACAGGCCACAGUGUGUACUGAUGGGAAGGGAUGUAAACACAGGAUAUCAACACAACAUGAGCAGCAGGCCUGACCUUGGGGAGUUUCCUGCCAGCCAGUCCACGAUCCCUAUGAACCUCUUCUCCCUCCUCGGCUGUGCUGGGUACACCUCCUGCACUGCACCAUGUCCUCUCAGAAGGCUGAGCUGCACUCUGCUGGGAUUAGAUUGCUCCAAACCCGGCAAUGCUUAUUUAUUCCUUUAAUGUCUUUGUGCUUACAAACAGCACUGUAUAUGAGAAAUGGCAGGCACUUCAUUUUACACAAAAUGUGAGGAAUCUUAUGAGCACGGAUUUCAUAGCUGAAUCCACAUUUAUCUUCUUCUGAACAUGGUAUUAAACAGUAUCUACAGGGGUUCAGACAUACAGUGGAGAAUGACAGAACAUUACACGCUUCCUUCUGCACAGAAGCUUCCAUUGGUCCAGCUGAUCCUGGAGGAAACAGACGUUUCCUGAGCCACUUGUUGAAUUCUUCUUUGCUAUGUGCAUUUAUUAUGAAAUACAAUUUUGUUUCCACAUUCUGACAAGACACAGUAAUAAAGUCUGCAAUGGAAA
This is a long non-coding RNA of Symphalangus syndactylus (siamang), 13926 nucleotides long. RefSeq lists it as uncharacterized. NCBI's taxonomy places the organism in Eukaryota, Metazoa, Chordata, Mammalia, Primates, Hylobatidae. The record is from RefSeq and is a predicted model, not a curated record.